Long non-coding RNA from Heterocephalus glaber (naked mole-rat), 306 nucleotides. RefSeq lists it as uncharacterized. Lineage: Eukaryota; Metazoa; Chordata; Mammalia; Rodentia; Bathyergidae. The record is from RefSeq and is a predicted model, not a curated record.
UCACACAUCUCUCCUUGUGCCUAUACCUAUCACUUCUCUAGCAAGGAAAGGGUAGGGAGCCAUGUAAGACUCCCCAUCAAGAGGAUUCAAUCCAGGAUGCUACCUUGCUUUUAGCCAUCAUGCCUGUUCAUGUAGAAACAAAAGUGUUUUCUGGAAGCAGCAAGAAGUAGCAAGGAGAAGCAUGUGUGACCCUGUCUGCUCCUCCAGUGGAGCAGAAGUCCAUUAAACUAUUUCUUCCUGAUGGGGACAGUUUGGCGAACGAUGACUGUCAGUCUAGUGACCUUUCUAAGCCCACAGAGAGACGAC